UUUUUCUGUUAAGUUGAUCUUUGUAGUUGAGAGACAUAGAAGGAAUUCAUGAUGCUUCUGUCCACUUCCUGUUUGAGAAUUUCUUAUUCCAAAAAUGCCUAAUUUUGUUAGUGGAAAGAAGAGAGCUACCGAGUUGAACAUGUGUUUCUCCAACGCUCUCGAGCAGGGUGCUCCACCUCACUCAAAAGGGGGUUCCUGCUUAACUCUAAAGUUCGUUGAUGGUAUCCAUAGUCCUAUCUUGCCUGGAUUGCCCGAUGAUGUGGCAAUGUACUGUCUUGCACUUGUUCCUCGAACUAAUUUUCCUGCUAUGGGUGUUGUUUGCAAAAGAUGGAGGUCUUUUAUCCAAAGUAAGGAAUUUAUCCGGGUUAGAAAACUAGUUGGCAUGCUCGAGGAGUGGCUUUAUGUCCUAACUGUUGACUCUCAAGGAAAUGGGAGCCACUGGAGGUUAUAGACUGUUUGGGACAGAAACACAAUGAAUUCCCCCAAUGCCUGGUUGUGAGAAAGUUGGUUUUGGCGUGGUAGUUCUCAAUGGAAAGCUUCUCGUAAUUGCUGGUUAUGCCAUGAUUG
This 567-nucleotide long non-coding RNA is filed under the name Coffea arabica (coffee). RNAcentral's name for it is "long non-coding RNA (CARA_LNC007654)". The record is from RNAcentral. Lineage: Eukaryota; Viridiplantae; Streptophyta; Magnoliopsida; Gentianales; Rubiaceae.